This 393-nucleotide ribosomal RNA is filed under the name uncultured bacterium. RNAcentral describes it as "partial 16S ribosomal RNA". It matches the Rfam family "Bacterial small subunit ribosomal RNA", at positions 523 to 918 of the family's 1533-position model. The record is from RNAcentral.
AUACGGAAGGUCCGGGCGUUAUCCGGAUUUAUUGGGUUUAAAGGGAGCGCAGGCCGAGAUGCAAGCGUGACGUCAAAUUUCGGGGCUCAACCCCGUCUCGCGUCGCGAACUGCGUCCCUUGGUUGCGGGAAGGGGAGGCGGAACUCGUGGUGUAGCGGUGAAAUGCAUAGAUAUAACGAAGAACUCCGAUCGCGAAGGCAGCCUUCCGGCCCGUCAACGACGCUCAUGCUCGAAGGUGCGGGUAUCAAACAGGAUUAGAGGCCCUGGUAGUCCGCACAGUAAACGAUGGACACCCGCGGUUUGGCCUAUAUGUCUGAGCCGCCAAGCGAAAGCGUUAAGUGUCCCACCUGGGGAGUACGCCGGCAACGGUGAAACUCAAAUGAAUUGACGGGG